Molecule: long non-coding RNA, 646 nt
Filed under: Hordeum vulgare
Lineage: Eukaryota; Viridiplantae; Streptophyta; Magnoliopsida; Poales; Poaceae
Description: long non-coding RNA (HVUL_LNC012323)
Source: RNAcentral
CCGUAAAAAUGGUCAAACCUCAGUAUUUGCAGUAUAAGCUAGAAAAAAUGCUCUUAAUAGAUAGCAUAUCCCUAAAAAAUAGCACGCUCCCCUAUAUUCAAGCUUCCAUUCGUCAUAUCUGGAGGAUUUCAACCGUUUUUGGAGGAUCUGUAAAGUCGGUCAAGCUGAAGCACAGGAACCUCACGACGCCACACAUGAGCAGCGAGCAAGCGGAGGAGCUCGUGGGGCGGGCGGUCAGGGCAUCAUCGGAGCGGGUCGGAGCAUCCUCAGAGCAUCAGUGAAGCGUCAUCGGAUCAGGCAGUGGCUCAAAGCGGCACCGUUUUGGUCGGCUAGAGUUCAAGUUCGUCCAUGCCUGCGUCCGAGGGAAGAAGCGUGAGGAGGGGAAAAAACGUUUACGGUACGGUUUUACGAACAUGUUCCUUGAUGUCCUAAAUUCGAUUUAGGGAAGCACAUAUAUAUAUUGAUUUUUUACACGUGAUGUUUUACGGCAUCUGCUAAAGAUGACUUUAAGGGAUUCUUUUUAAUGGUAAAAUGGCCUCCAUCCCAUAAACUGAUGGUUAUUUUAUCAGUUGGCCCGUUUAUGGGAUCUAUUAGAGAUGCUCAGCAACGUUUUCCUAUUCCAUUGGGUGCUAUAAAAUGAUCCGCA